CACAAACACACACUGCAUUCACUAUACACACACCACACAAACACACUCUGCAUUCAGUAUACACACACUAGACAAACGCACACUACAUCAACUAUACACACACACUAUGCAUUCAUUAUAUACACACUACAUCCACUAUACACACACUACAUGCACUACACAAACACACACUCCACAUUCACUAUACACACUGCAUCUAAUACACACAAACAGCCAUCACUAUACACACUCAGCAUUCACUAUACACACACUACAUCCACUACACAAACACACUCUGCCUUCACUACAGAAACACACUCUGCCUUCACUACACAAACAAACUCUUCCUUCACUACGCAAACACACACUACAUCCACUACACAAACACACUCUUCAUGCACUAUACAUAC
Non-coding RNA from Pelobates cultripes (western spadefoot toad), 389 nucleotides. The record is from the annotation of a GenBank genome assembly. NCBI's taxonomy places the organism in Eukaryota, Metazoa, Chordata, Amphibia, Anura, Pelobatidae.